RNAcentral lists this small nuclear RNA (28 nucleotides) under Arabidopsis thaliana (thale cress). RNAcentral's name for it is "snRNA_03885". Lineage: Eukaryota; Viridiplantae; Streptophyta; Magnoliopsida; Brassicales; Brassicaceae. The record is from RNAcentral.
CAUUAUUAUUACUGAUCAGUAAAAUUAA